CAAAAGAAACACUAAAAUCUGUCCAGAGACAGAAGUAGCGAAACUCUCAUCUCGAACACAUCGACUCAAUGUGAAGAACUGUGAAACGCCCAAAAUCCGUCUUCUAUAGCUAGGAAUCCCAAAUUGAAACCCAAAAUCGAUCCUCUCUAGCUAGAAAUCUGUCCAGAUAUAGAAAUCCCAAAUCGAAAUCCCUCAAAAAUCUCACCCCAAUCAAAAUCCCUCAAAUCAGAAUGUGAAUUCGAUUGUGUGUUUAUGAUACUUGCCGGAAACUUCAUUUUGAAGCUAAAUCUCAAUAUUGGAAGCUGGUUUGAUGAGUUUUUGUUUGAAUUUUUGAAUCAGAGUGUGCGAAGAAGAAGACCACUGCUGCGGAAGUCGAUUCAAAGCUUCUUCAACUUUGAGAAAAAGAAUGUGUUCAAGUCAAAAAUCACUGUCUGUCUCACAGUGCAGUGACUAGGUUCCGACCGAGUUUGAUAUUUCUCCGCAUAAGCCCUGUAAUUUUGCAAGGCUCCACUUGUGGGAUUAUACUGGAUUUUUUGUUGUUGUCCUGUAAUUUCGUAAGGAUCAGGGAGGCAGCUUAUUUCUAGUUGUUCAGGGACAGGGCACUUAGACAGUGGUAUCGUUCAAGGAUGGUGUGGAGCAAGGAGUAGUUACAAGGCACUUAAUAUUUUAUCUUUUUGGGAUAUGUAUAUGCGCACAAUUACAAUGCACAAUGAAGUGCUAGGUAGUAUAUAUAUGUAAUUGACUUUUUAGUAAUGAUAAUAUUUAUAAUAUUCGGCUUGAGAAAUUCUUUUGGUGUU
Molecule: long non-coding RNA, 797 nt
Organism: Nicotiana tabacum (common tobacco)
Lineage: Eukaryota; Viridiplantae; Streptophyta; Magnoliopsida; Solanales; Solanaceae
Source: RefSeq, a predicted model, not a curated record